AAUUAAUAAACCUUAAUUAAACUUUUACUUUAAUUAUAUCUUA
This 43-nucleotide transfer RNA is filed under the name Mecaphesa anguliventris. RNAcentral describes it as "tRNA-Leu". The record is from RNAcentral. Lineage: Eukaryota; Metazoa; Arthropoda; Arachnida; Araneae; Thomisidae.